Molecule: ribosomal RNA, 476 nt
Filed under: uncultured bacterium
Lineage: Bacteria
Description: bacterial SSU rRNA
Rfam family: Bacterial small subunit ribosomal RNA
Source: RNAcentral
AUGAACGCUGGCGGCAGGCUUAACACAUGCAAGUCGAGGGGUAUAGUUCUUCGGAAUUAGAGACCGGCGCACGGGUGCGUAACGCGUAUGCAAUCUACCUUUCACAGAGGGAUAGCCCAGAGAAAUUUGGAUUAAUACCUCAUAGUAUAUAGAGUUGGCAUCAACAUUAUAUUAAAGUCACAACGGUGAAAGAUGAGCAUGCGUCCCAUUAGCUAGUUGGUAAGGUAACGGCUUACCAAGGCGACGAUGGGUAGGGGUCCUGAGAGGGAGAUCCCCCACACUGGUACUGAGACACGGACCAGACUCCUACGGGAGGCAGCAGUGAGGAAUAUUGGACAAUGGGCGCAAGCCUGAUCCAGCCAUGCCGCGUGCAGGAUGACGGUCCUAUGGAUUGUAAACUGCUUUUAUACGAGAAGAAACACCUCUACGUGUAGAGACUUGACGGUAUCGUAAGAAUAAGGAUCGGCUAACUCCGU